UGGUAGAUUUCUCCUGUUGUCCUGUGACUUGGCUUGAAGCGGAAGAUGACCCGUGUCACCUGGCACCCUGAUAACAGAGAGCAAAUUCCAGCAAAAAAGUGCCCAUGCCUGGGCUGGCCAUUCUUGUGCCCAGCAGGCAGCUCCCUGCCAUCUGGCCACCUUAGAGGGACCACAGCCGCUCUGCUCCUCGCCCACCUGGCUUCAGCUGCCUCCCAACCCCAGUGACAGGGACAGCAUCGCCAAUACUAGGCACAAACCAGCCUCCGAUUUACCUGCUUUCCUGCUCUGGGGACUGGGGACCAGGUCCCCUAAUGCUGUUGUGCCCUAGUUUUCCACAGAGCUGAUGCCCUAUCCCUUGAGAAAGCAGAGGCUGUAACCGUGGCCAAGAUCGUUCAGGGGAGACUCCUUUGGGAACCAGUAGCUGACGCGCAGCAAGUGACGCCCUCUGGCCGGAGGGAAGAAGAAGCUCAGGGGCCAGUCGGGAGCUGGGGACAGACGCCUGCCUCCCUGGGCCUUGCAUCCGUGACCCUGGAGUUAGGUUCCCAGGCCCCCAGGAGGGAAGCAGCUUGGGUCUAAGCCGGCAAAGGAAAAAGGGAGCACGUGGGCAGGUACAGGUGGGAGAGAAGUGUGGGGAGCAGCACAGAAUGUCACAGCUCCACGAGACGGAAAAUGAUGGCACCCGGGCACACUGAGACAUCGGUACAUUCACGCUCACCCUCCUUCACAUCUAGUGAACAGAUAUUUCACAGCGAAGACGUUAAUCUCCUUCUGGUCAAUAGUUCUCAGCCAAAUGAUCAAAAUAAAAUACAUCACUCAUCGCAAGAAAAAAAA
Molecule: long non-coding RNA, 831 nt
Organism: Felis catus (domestic cat)
Lineage: Eukaryota; Metazoa; Chordata; Mammalia; Carnivora; Felidae
Exons: 3
Source: RefSeq, a predicted model, not a curated record